RNAcentral lists this ribosomal RNA (478 nucleotides) under uncultured bacterium. Its description in RNAcentral is "partial 16S ribosomal RNA". It matches the Rfam family "Bacterial small subunit ribosomal RNA", at positions 28 to 507 of the family's 1533-position model. The record is from RNAcentral.
GAUGAACGCUGGCGGCGUGCUUAACACAUGCAAGUCGAACGGGAAACCUUUUAUUGAAGCUUCGGCAGAUUUCGCUGGUUUCUAGUGGCGGACGGGUGAGUAACGCGUGGGUAACCUGCCUUAUACAGGGGGAUAACAGUCAGAAAUGGCUGCUAAUACCGCAUAAGCGCACAGAGCUGCAUGGCUCAGUGUGAAAAACUCCGGUGGUAUAAGAUGGACCCGCGUUGGAUUAGCUGGUUGGUGGGGUAACGGCCCACCAAGGCGACGAUCCAUAGCCGGCCUGAGAGGGUGAACGGCCACAUUGGGACUGAGACACGGCCCAGACUCCUACGGGAGGCAGCAGUGGGGAAUAUUGCACAAUGGGGGAAACCCUGAUGCAGCGACGCCGCGUGAAGGAAGAAGUAUCUCGGUAUGUAAACUUCUAUCAGCAGGGAAGAUAAUGACGGUACCUGACGAAGAAGCCCCGGCUAACUACGUG